Molecule: ribosomal RNA, 585 nt
Filed under: uncultured bacterium
Lineage: Bacteria
Description: bacterial SSU rRNA
Rfam family: Bacterial small subunit ribosomal RNA
Source: RNAcentral
CCUACGGGAGGCAGCAGUGGGGAAUUUUGGACAAUGGGCGCAAGCCUGAUCCAGCAAUGCCGCGUGAGUGAAGAAGGCCUUCGGGUUGUAAAGCUCUUUUGUCAGGGAAGAAACGGCAGUUUCUAAUACAGAUUGCUAAUGACGGUACCUGAAGAAUAAGCACCGGCUAACUACGUGCCAGCAGCCGCGGUAAUACGUAGGGUGCAAGCGUUAAUCGGAAUUACUGGGCGUAAAGCGUGCGCAGGCGGUUUUGUAAGUUUGUCGUGAAAUCCCCGGGCUCAACCUGGGAAUGGCGAUGAAGACUGCAAGGCUAGAAUCUGGCAGAGGGGGGUAGAAUUCCACGUGUAGCAGUGAAAUGCGUAGAGAUGUGGAGGAACACCGAUGGCGAAGGCAGCCCCCUGGGUCAAGAUUGACGCUCAUGCACGAAAGCGUGGGGAGCAAACAGGAUUAGAUACCCUGGUAGUCCACGCCCUAAACGAUGUCUACUAGUUGUCGGGUUUUAACUAACUUGGUAACGCAGCUAACGCGUGAAGUAGACCGCCUGGGGAGUACGGUCGCAAGAUUAAAACUCAAAGGAAUUGACGG